GACGAACGCUGGCGGCGUGCUUAACACAUGCAAGUCGUACGGUAAGGCCCUUUCGGGGGUACACGAGUGGCGAACGGGUGAGUAACACGUGAGUAACCUGCCCACAACUUUGGGAUAACGCUAGGAAACUGGUGCUAAUACUGGAUAUGUGCUCCUGCUGCAUGGUGGGGGUUGGAAAGCUCCGGCGGUUGUGGAUGGACUCGCGGCCUAUCAGCUUGUUGGCGGGGUAGUGGCCUACCAAGGCGGCGACGGGUAGCCGGCCUGAGAGGGUGACCGGCCACAUUGGGACUGAGAUACGGCCCAGACUCCUACGGGAGGCAGCAGUGGGGAAUAUUGCACAAUGGGCGCAAGCCUGAUGCAGCAACGCCGCGUGCGGGAUGACGGCCUUCGGGUUGUAAACCGCUUUCAGCAGGGACGAAGCUUUUUGUGACGGUACCUGCAGAAGAAGCACCGGCUAACUACGUG
This 465-nucleotide ribosomal RNA is filed under the name uncultured bacterium. RNAcentral's name for it is "partial 16S ribosomal RNA". It matches the Rfam family "Bacterial small subunit ribosomal RNA", at positions 28 to 507 of the family's 1533-position model. The record is from RNAcentral.